UACGUAGGUGGCAAGCGUUGUCCGGAAUUAUUGGGCGUAAAGAGCUCGUAGGCGGUUUGUUGCGUCGGCUGUGAAAUCCCGAGGCUCAACCUCGGGUCUGCAGUCGAUACGAGCAAACUGGAGUGUUGCAGGGGAGACUGGAAUUCCUGGUGUAGCGGUGAAAUGCGCAGAUAUCAGGAGGAACACCGGUGGCGAAGGCGGGUCUCUGGGCAACAACUGACGCUGAGGAGCGAAAGCGUGGGGAGCGAACAGG
Molecule: ribosomal RNA, 253 nt
Filed under: uncultured bacterium
Lineage: Bacteria
Description: partial 16S ribosomal RNA
Rfam family: Bacterial small subunit ribosomal RNA
Source: RNAcentral